UACGGGGGGGGCAAGCGUUGUUCGGAAUUACUGGGCGUAAAGGGCUCGUAGGCGGCCAACUAAGUCGGACGUGAAAUCCCUCAGCUUAACUGGGGAACUGCGUCCGAUACUGGAUGGCUUGGAUUUGGGAGAGGGAUGCGGAAUUCCAGGUGUAGCGGUGAAAUGCGUAGAUAUCUGGAGGAACACCGGUGGCGAAGGCGGCAUCCUGGACCAAUAUUGACGCUGAAGCGCGAAAGCUAGGGGAGCAAACGGG
This 253-nucleotide ribosomal RNA is filed under the name uncultured bacterium. RNAcentral describes it as "partial 16S ribosomal RNA". It matches the Rfam family "Bacterial small subunit ribosomal RNA", at positions 524 to 776 of the family's 1533-position model. The record is from RNAcentral.